CUUCCACCUGCUUGGUGUGGUGGUUAAGUAUUAGCGCAGUGGAUUAUAAGAUAAAAUAUGCAGGGGAGACUUGCUGGCUGCAGGACUUUUUCUGGCACUGGUUAUAUUUCUCUGUUAUUCUGCCAUCAGUUUGUUUGUCUGAUGUAUAGGAGAAGGACAGAAAGUCGACUUCAGCAGCUCUCCAAGUUGCGAGUUUUGUACGCUAAUAAAGCCGGCAGCUCCUCGUCCCCUCGCCGCCCCGGGGAAAAGAGCCGCAGAGAGCAGGGACAGCCCAAAGCACAUGCUCAGGCCAUGAUUAGUGGUACCUCCAGAGCUCAGCUCUGGGAUGGGGGAGAGAAGAGAAGAGGGACCUCUGCCUACACGUCUCUGAAUACACGGACCCAUAGAGGGCCCACAAGUCCCAGGAUUUUACCAAAUCCCACUUGUUUUCCGAUCCCCUUGCAAGGAGUAGUGCCACUCCACGGCAGAGCUGGACUGAAGAUCCCGUUAGAUGUUGUGCCCUAAGUGGGACAGAUAUGGGCGGCAGGUCGCGUCUCAGGUCCUCAAAGCAAGCAGCACGUUUCCUCCUCCCUCCUGCCGGUGCUUUCGUUCUGCUUUUCUGCAGCUGGUCCCCGCAGGCAGUGAUUGUCUCCUGAGGAAGGCGGCAGCAAAGACGGCCCACGGGAUUGACAGAUACAUCGCUGAGUCUGGAUACGUUCCUGGAACAACUGUUUUUCUUUCGAAGAAAGUUGCCAUUGAUUGAGGCUGUUGCGACGGAGCCCAGGUAUUUUUGCACUGGAAGGUUUGGGAGUCUUGCUGUCGAGCUGGAGGGGACACGAGCACCGUGUGCGCCAAGGACACGUGGACACCCCCGCUCAUCUGCCAUGAGUAGCUUCAGCCCCUGCAACAAUUUUCGGCCCCUGCAAGUGAGGGUCUGCCUGCCUGCUGCCAUGCCAGCUGGGAAAAGCUGCCCUUCGCUCUCGGUCUUUAAAAUAACUUCUUUUUUUUUUUUUCCUCUGAUGUAAGGAUCAAAUCACAAACAUGAAAGCAAUGUUGUUUGUCGUGUGUGUGUGUUUAAUGCAAUAUCAUCUGGCUGCUGUGAAAGUUAAACUUGCUGAUUGUAGGCUCCUGCACGCUCCUCCGAGCAGCUUCUGCAUGAUAGGAUUACAAUGGCGUGUUUUAGUCUAAGGAGUUUAGACACAAACAGUUAUUAUUUUGAAAUAAAUACAUGCUGGUAAGCGCUAUCAAA
Long non-coding RNA from Dromaius novaehollandiae (emu), 1228 nucleotides. RefSeq lists it as uncharacterized. The transcript is spliced from 5 exons. Lineage: Eukaryota; Metazoa; Chordata; Aves; Casuariiformes; Dromaiidae. The record is from RefSeq and is a predicted model, not a curated record.